This 111-nucleotide microRNA precursor is filed under the name Tupaia belangeri (northern tree shrew). RNAcentral describes it as "miRNA (ENSTBEG00000019905.1)". The record is from RNAcentral. Lineage: Eukaryota; Metazoa; Chordata; Mammalia; Scandentia; Tupaiidae.
AUAUAUAUAUAUAUAUAUAUAUAUAUAUAUAUAUACACACACAUAUAUAUAGAGAGAGAUAUGUAUAUAUAUACACACACACACACAUAUAUAUAUAUAUGUAUAUAUAUA